GACGAACGCUGGCGGCGUGCUUAACACAUGCAAGUCGAACGGAAAGGCCCUGCUUUUGUGGGGUGCUCGAGUGGCGAACGGGUGAGUAACACGUGAGUAACCUGCCCUUGACUUUGGGAUAACUUCAGGAAACUGGGGCUAAUACCGGAUAGGAGCUCCUGCUGCAUGGUGGGGGUUGGAAAGUUUCGGCGGUUGGGGAUGGACUCGCGGCUUAUCAGCUUGUUGGUGGGGUAGUGGCCUACCAAGGCUUUGACGGGUAGCCGGCCUGUGAGGGUGACCGGCCACAUUGGGACUGAGAUACGGCCCAGACUCCUACGGGAGGCAGCAGUGGGGAAUAUUGCACAAUGGGCGGAAGCCUGAUGCAGCAACGCCGCGUGCGGGAUGACGGCCUUCGGGUUGUAAACCGCUUUCGCCUGUGACGAAGCGUGAGUGACGGUAAUGGGUAAAGAAGCACCGGCUAACUACGUG
This 468-nucleotide ribosomal RNA is filed under the name uncultured bacterium. RNAcentral describes it as "partial 16S ribosomal RNA". It matches the Rfam family "Bacterial small subunit ribosomal RNA", at positions 28 to 507 of the family's 1533-position model. The record is from RNAcentral.